UGAACGCUAGCUACAGGCUUAACACAUGCAAGUCGAGGGGCAUCAGGAAGAAAGCUUGCUUUCUUUGCUGGCGACCGGCGCACGGGUGAGUAACACGUAUCCAACCUGCCCUUUACUCGGGGAUAGCCUUUCGAAAGAAAGAUUAAUACCCGAUGGCAUAAUGAUUCCGCAUGGUUUCAUUAUUAAAGGAUUCCGGUAAAGGAUGGGGAUGCGUUCCAUUAGGUUGUUGGUGAGGUAACGGCUCACCAAGCCUUCGAUGGAUAGGGGUUCUGAGAGGAAGGUCCCCCACAUUGGAACUGAGACACGGUCCAAACUCCUACGGGAGGCAGCAGUGAGGAAUAUUGGUCAAUGGGCGCUAGCCUGAACCAGCCAAGUAGCGUGAAGGAUGAAGGCUCUAUGGGUCGUAAACUUCUUUUAUAUAAGAAUAAAGUGCAGUAUGUAUACUGUUUUGUAUGUAUUAUAUGAAUAAGGAUCGGCUAACUCCGUGCCAGCACCCGCGGUAAUACGGAGGAUCCGAGCGUUAUCCGGAUUUAUUGGGUUUAAAGGGAGCGUAGGUGGACUGGUAAGUCAGUUGUGAAAGUUUGCGGCUCAACCGUAAAAUUGCAGUUGAUACUGUCAGUCUUGAGUACAGUAGAGGUGGGCGGAAUUCGUGGUGUAGCGGUGAAAUGCUUAGAUAUCACGAAGAAACUCCGAUUGCGAAGGCAGCUCACUGGACUGCAACUGACACUGAUACUCGAAAGUGUGGGUAUCAAACAGGAUUAGAUACCCUGGUAGUCCACACAGUAAACGAUGAAUACUCGCUGUUUGCGAUAUACAGUAAGCGGCCAAGCGAAAGCAUUAAGUAUUCCACCUGGGGAGUACGCCGGCAACGGUGAAACUCAAAGGAAUUGACGGGGGCCCGCACAAGCGGAGGAACAUGUGGUUUAAUUCGAUGAUACGCGAAGAACCUUACCCGGGCUUAAAUUGCAGUGGAAUGAUGUGGAAACAUGUCAGUGAGCAAUCACCGCUGUGAAGGUGCUGCAUGGUUGUCGUCAGCUCGUGCCGUGAGGUGUCGGCUUAAGUGCCAUAACGAGCGCAACCCUUAUCUUUAGUUACUAACAGGUUAUGCUGAGGACUCUAGAGAGACUGCCGUCGUAAGAUGUGAGGAAGGUGGGGAUGACGUCAAAUCAGCACGGCCCUUACGUCCGGGGCUACACACGUGUUACAAUGGGGGGUACAGAAGGCAGCUAGCGGGUGACCGUAUGCUAAUCCCAAAAGCCUCUCUCAGUUCGGAUCGAAGUCUGCAACCCGACUUCGUGAAGCUGGAUUCGCUAGUAAUCGCGCAUCAGCCACGGCGCGGUGAAUACGUUCCCGGGCCUUGUACACACCGCCCGUCAAGCCAUGGGAGCCGGGGGUACCUGAAGUACGUAACCGCAAGGAUCGUCCUAGGGUAAAACUGGUGACUGGGGCUA
RNAcentral lists this ribosomal RNA (1451 nucleotides) under uncultured organism. RNAcentral describes it as "SSU rRNA". It matches the Rfam family "Bacterial small subunit ribosomal RNA". The record is from RNAcentral.